Haplochromis burtoni (Burton's mouthbrooder) is the source of this 3480-nucleotide long non-coding RNA. RefSeq lists it as uncharacterized. The transcript has 3 exons. The record is from RefSeq and is a predicted model, not a curated record. Lineage: Eukaryota; Metazoa; Chordata; Actinopteri; Cichliformes; Cichlidae.
UGUGUGUGUGUGUGCGUGUGUGCGUGCGAUUGCAGUGUGGGAUAAUGCACUUCAAGAUGAAAGCACCAGGGAUACUUGUAAUGACAAGAGACUCGAACAGUGCGGCCUGACAGGAGGUGACCAGUGACCUUCCCGUACACACGACGAUCCUACUUCACAAGAACAGCCUCUCUAACUUUGGAAGGACAUGACAGCCUCUUGCUGUGCUUUGGUUGGAUCAGUUUCACAAAUGACACAUAUCACAUCAUUCCUGGGGCGGCUGCGGUUGGGGCGGCAGAGCAGGUCGUCUAGUAAUCGGGAAGGCGUCCCUUCUCCUUCGUCACGGCAUCAAUCAAGCAAACAGCAGAGUCCUCAGUUGUGGGUUGUAACUGGUGGUUCACUGACAGUUCAGGAAGCUUAUUUCCUCCCAGAGGUGACAUACACUGUAAUGUUCUCUCCCAUCUCCCAUUUCCUUCUGUUGAUGAGUUUCCAUCUAAGCCUGCAGCAGCAGAAACAAAGACAGCUUCACUCCACAUAUCUUCAUCUAAACCUGGGUUACUACGGCUGAUGAUGCUGAAUCCUCAAGUCAAGCAUUUAAACCUUAAUUUGAUAAAAACAUCAUUCAACACAUAAAAUCCAUGCUCUAUAAAUAUCUUUUUAUUUUUUUCACCUGCUAAUUUUCUUGGCAUUUUUCAAAAGCCAAGUAUGUUUCCUCAAAAUGUUCCUCUACAGAUCUAACAAGUGAACCCUAAGUGGCAUAAUGGCCAUAAAUGGUCCUCCAUUACAUUCAGCAACUUCAGAAACUCUGCACCCUUUUCAUCCUCAUUAAAGCAGCUUCUGAAAGGGAUGAUGAAUAUCAUCAAAACAAUUUUAUGUCUGGUCCCCCGCGGAAAAGAUGAAGCCCUUCCUUGUGAACUCAAAGCACAAACAUCAGAGGCCAGCUAGAAGAUUUUCUUUUCAUCCUCAUAAUGCAACUUGGUCAGACUUUAAUAUUUGAUGCCAACUGAAAUGUGACUAUUGUUGUCCAAAGAACACAUAUGGAUGAUUAAAGCAGUAAUGAUGCUUAGAAUAAAUGCUUGGUAAUAUGUUCAGCAGCUGUGUGGCCAUAACAGUUUUCCCCCUUUCAAAACCAUAAUAAUGGGCUUCAACAUCUACAGCAGUGCCAUGAUGGAUUUUACAAUAAAGUGUUUUUCACGUUGUUUUAUGUUUAUGACCAGCUAUUGAUAUAUUGUCCAUUUUUAGAGGGCAGCUCAUUGUUUCUACACAAAAUAACAAACAGUAAAUCGUGAACAGAGGGCUUAUGUUGGACAGUGCAUUUUUCAGGCAAUCAGUCAGCAUCAACAAAAUGAUGAGAAAAAUGACUCCAAAUGUUACACUUCUUCUCAUCCUCUUCAUCUUGUUGCAGGAAAUAAGGCCAUAUUAUUAGCACCACUGUUAACACAGUUUUAUGAGUAUUUAAACUCACUAAUAAUUAAAUACUCCUGCAUUUCCUUGGUAACAUGGCACACAGUAUUGCAAUUCCAAAUUUUGCUUUAUUUGGCCAAAAGAGGUUGAUAUUCAGUCUUCUACUCAGAAUCCCUAUUUGGGGUUUUACUUGCAGAUGGCACGCUAUUAUGUUGGUUGUAUUUGUGGCUUGAGCCAUCCAGUAGCUCAUAAACAGAGUUAAGUCUCAAAUUACUUGUCUUAGAAUUGGCUGGUCAACGCUACACCAAACCUCCACUCAAGUGGACUCAUAGAUGAAUUACCCUGCUGAUGAAUUGAAUCUAUGCAGACAACAUGUUACCCUUUACCCUAUUUCUGUGGACUACUUGUUUGUUCCUACACAGCAUAUUUUCCUUCCACCAUUCAUCCAUCGCCUUCUGCUUAUCAAGUUAAGGGUUCCUGGAGCAUGCUGGAGCCUAUUCCAGCUACCAUAGGGCCAUGAGACAGGGUAUUCCCCAGACAAGUCGCCAGCCUCCUCCUUUCAAAGAAAAAAUCAAACUACCACAGAAAACUCCUAUUUUCUGUGAGCGCAGCUGCAGCUGUUCUACUUGACUGUGUUGGAGAUAAUGGUAUUGCUUCUAGUUGGAUUUUAUCUGCCUUUUCUGUUGAACACAUGAUGUUAUUGACAUUUCUAGCUAUGUCGUAACUAGCCUAUUUGAACUUGUUAUUUUCUCAGUAAUGGCAGAUGUGUUCACCACAAGGAGGGGGUCCAAUCCAACACACAGUCAGCACAGCCAUUACAUUGUGCCCUCACACAAGAAGUAUAUGUAUUUGGUGUCAUACUUAUAAACUCAAAUACAACGGUGCCUUCCCAUGGGCCAUAGUUAAUAAAUCGUUAGUUCAUUGAUAAUUUGAAAAGUAAAUAUAAAGUUUUUCAGGUGAAGUAAGUGAGCUUUUCAUGGCAACAUAGCACAAAAUAAGAAUGAUAUCUUUAGUAGAAAAGCUGUAGAUUCACAACAAUGACUUGGAAAUAAUCUUAGAGAGGGGUUUUUUUGUUUGUUUUUUACUUUGAGAAGGUGCUUUUUAAUUAGCUGUACACAUAAUCUGCUCCUGAGGGUCUUUUUGGUGAUAGUAAUUCUUUGGUCACUCAUGCAGUUCAAUUUUAACUGGCUGAAUUUCCUUUGAGGUACACUUUGUGUUAAACUGUCUAGUGGAAAACGAAGACAAAAGGAAAACCCAAUGUUGUGAAACAUCAUCAUGAAAUAUAUAUAAACGCACACAUUUUCAUUGAUUUAAGGUUGCACUUAAACAUUCGUUCGUGUGUGUGUGUAUAUAUAAUUUCAUGAAAGAGGAUUUAGGAAAAAAUGGACAAGGGAGAAUUUCAACAAGUCAAGAGUUAUGGGCACUAGAAUAUGCAGAAAGCCCCAGUUAAUAAUGAAUGAAGCACCUUAACUGAUGGGCAUUGAAAUAUGGCAGCAACUUUCUCCUCCAUCAAGUCCUUGGUUCAAUAAACCAGUCAUAAAAUCCUACUUAUAUGGACCGCAUAAAUAGUUUCCAAUUCUACUAUAAAUAAUCUCAAAGAUGAAACAUAGAUUAAGCAUCACAAAUCACAACAGGGAAUAAACAGACAAAUCUGGAUGCUUCUAAUAAUUUUAAAUCCAAAUUAUAUUCAGACUAAGAUGUCAAGUAGAAAAAUUUUAUUAGAAUUUUUACAGAAUGUAAAAUCAUUUUAAUUAACCAGUUAUUUAUAUAUUAAAGUUUAAAAACAGAUACAGAUGUGCCCCAUCAUACAACCAAACCAUUACUUGGGCUCAUCCCUCCCAUACAGCAGCAGCAUGAGGGAUUCAGUAGUAUUGUCAUGCAGCUUGACAUUCCUUCAAUACCAUUAGUUGGCUGACUACAGCUGCAGUACAGUAACGGAUCCUACACUGGAUACUGACUCCGACAUGUACAGAAAAAGAAGAGAAAAAACACAUUUGUUGUCCCAGGAGGUCUUGGUUUGAAUGACAUCAUACACACAAAAAAAGGCAUUGAUUAAAGCCAGGCACCUAUUUGUGGGUAAAAGUGUGUGAGGUCUAA